GAGACACAGGAAGUGAUGUAAAGAACUAUCUCUACGUUUCACAUCACUUCCUGUGAGCACUCUCUCGGUGGCGUUGGGAGCUCUUGGUGGUGUUUGGCGAGCUUCCAGCUUUGGUGGACUUUGACAGUGGAAUUUACUGGGAGGAGCUCUAUAGGAUGGUUUAGUAAUCUAGGAAGAUUGCCAGAUGUUGGAUGGAUGUCAAGUGAUGAAUGUAUGAGAGGAAGUGGACAAGAAGCACACAGAUGAAACUGAGCCUUGAAGAGGUGAAGCAACUUGACUUUGAACACACACAGAAUUUGUGCUUAAGUCAGAACUAGAUCUCAGAUCUCCUGGAUCCUUCUCUAGUGCUCUUGAGUAGGAGUAAAGGCAUCUAGAAAUGGUGUUUCCAAAUUCAUCUGGAAGGGGUUGUCUC
This 412-nucleotide long non-coding RNA is filed under the name Monodelphis domestica (gray short-tailed opossum). Its description in RNAcentral is "lncRNA (ENSMODG00000041431.1)". The record is from RNAcentral. Lineage: Eukaryota; Metazoa; Chordata; Mammalia; Didelphimorphia; Didelphidae.